RNAcentral lists this long non-coding RNA (515 nucleotides) under Heterocephalus glaber (naked mole-rat). RNAcentral describes it as "lncRNA (ENSHGLG00000043799.1)". Lineage: Eukaryota; Metazoa; Chordata; Mammalia; Rodentia; Bathyergidae. The record is from RNAcentral.
CAGGGCUUUGCCACCUGCAUAACAUCUGGUUUGAACUAGGAGUUCUAUGCCCUAGCCCCACUCUCAUCAACUCUCCCACAAAAUUAUCCUUUGAACAAGAGCUUGCCACCCCAUCACAACCAGCAGAGCGGAAGUCCACUGUACAAAGACACCCAGUAAAAGACAAAGACCUCUGAGUGGACAGCACUGGCUACCAGUUAAUGGGCUUCUUAGGAAAAGGAAGUAAAGACUGAUGACCCCACAAAGAGAGCUUCUACCUCAAGAAGUCUGAUGUCUGCAUAGGGGAGACAUGCAUACCAAUAAAAAGCUCUGGGCAGAACCUGUUAUAAAGAUAUAAAAUGUGCCCAAGAGCAUGAAGAAAGCAUCAUUCUCACCUUCACAGUGUAGUAGUCCAAGUGGUCUACUAGGGAGACAAAUAUUUCUGCACGAGUGAUAGUCCCCACCAGACUCUAAACAGCUUUGUGGCAUUGCCCUUCAUACUUUCUCUCAGAAAAGAGAAAUAAAAGGCUUCCCAG